UAUGAAAUAGUAUUUUAUUAUUAUGAAAUUAAACUUCAAUUUAUAAAUGUAUCAUAUAUGUAGGACACGCUCUCAAUAGAUAAUUGAAGUUUCAAAUUUGUAAGAAAAUAACUGAACCAUACAUCAAUUUGGCCAAACAUUUUCCACGAAAAAGAGAAAAACUAAUGGAUACAUGAUUAUUAAAAAUAAAUAAAUAAAGAUACAAAUAAAUACAGCAAAUCUUUCAAUCAGAGCGUUACACGUCUAUAUCUUCAAUCAUGCUGUCAAAAUCUCUCCGGACAUUGAAAUCCAUAAAAUAUUCCAUAAAUUGCUUCCAUGCUCUCAGUCUAUCCUCUGAACACAUUGUUCAAUAUAAGUCUAAUAUUACACCAUAUUUGAUGUAGUAAGAAAAAAGCAAAAGGAAUAAAAAUAAGAGAUUCAUUCAAAUCAAUUACCACUACUUGUUGUUUUUGUUGGUUCUGCAUCAGAUUGCAAUUUGAAAUUCAAAUAAAAGCACAGGAAGCAUCAACUGUG
This 513-nucleotide long non-coding RNA is filed under the name Medicago truncatula (barrel medic). RNAcentral's name for it is "long non-coding RNA (MTRU_LNC007282)". Lineage: Eukaryota; Viridiplantae; Streptophyta; Magnoliopsida; Fabales; Fabaceae. The record is from RNAcentral.